UGGGGAAUCUUGCACAAUGGAGGAAACUCUGAUGCAGCGACGCCGCGUGAGCGAAGAAGCCUUUCGGGGUGUAAAGCUCUUACGCCAGGGACGAUAAUGACGGUACCUGGAGAAGCAGCUGCGGCUAACUACGUGCCAGCAGCCGCGGUAAUACGUAGGCAGCAAGCGUUGUUCGGAAUUACUGGGCGUAAAGGGUGCGUAGGCGGCGCUCUAAGUUUGGUGUGAAAUCUCCCGGCUUAACUGGGAGGGUGCACUGAAAACUGGGGCGCUCGAGUAUGGGAGAGGAAAGCGGAAUUCCUGGUGUAGCGGUGAAAUGCGUAGAGAUCAGGAGGAACACCUGCGGUGCAGACGGCUUUCUGGACCACCACUGACGCUGAGGCACGAAAGCGUGGGUAGCAAACA
RNAcentral lists this ribosomal RNA (402 nucleotides) under uncultured bacterium. RNAcentral describes it as "bacterial SSU rRNA". It matches the Rfam family "Bacterial small subunit ribosomal RNA", at positions 355 to 774 of the family's 1533-position model. The record is from RNAcentral.